CUAAGACUGCUCCCCAGUUUGAAGAGGUCUAGGUGGCAGUGCCCAAAAUCAGAAGCUACAGAAUGAAAGCAGGCUCAGAAAAGAAGGCUGAGGAACAUGGAGCACGUCAGUCAAGGUCUUGUGGUUCAAUUCCUGGCUGGAAAUUGGCGAUGGUAGAAUGGCUGUUCGGAGUGAAGAGGCCUCUGGUUGUUCACGCGCCACAGUUCCACAGCCGGACAAUGCUCGCAGUUCGCUAGACUGAUGAUCUUCUUUCACGUCCUCCGCCUUUGCAAACAGUAUUCUCUCAGUCUGAACAUUGCUUGUUGCCAACCCUUCAUUGUCAUCCCUACUGCCCCUCACCUACCUCUAACUCGUUCAUCUGUAACUUCCUUCUUUCCA
Molecule: long non-coding RNA, 378 nt
Filed under: Equus caballus (horse)
Lineage: Eukaryota; Metazoa; Chordata; Mammalia; Perissodactyla; Equidae
Description: lncRNA (ENSECAG00000050173.1)
Source: RNAcentral